AGUGAACGCUGGCGGUAGGCCUAACACAUGCAAGUCGAACGGCAGCACAGUAAGAGCUUGCCCUUACGGGUGGCGAGUGGCGGACGGGUGAGGAAUACAUCGGAAUCUACUUUUUCGUGGGGGAUAACGUAGGGAAACUUACGCUAAUACCGCAUACGACCUACGGGUGAAAGCAGGGGAUCUUCGGACCUUGCGCGAUUGAAUGAGCCGAUGUCGGAUUAGCUAGUUGGCGGGGUAAAGGCCCACCAAGGCGACGAUCCGUAGCUGGUCUGAGAGGAUGAUCAGCCACACUGGAACUGAGACACGGUCCAGACUCCUACGGGAGGCAGCAGUGGGGAAUAUUGGACAAUGGGCGCAAGCCUGAUCCAGCCAUACCGCGUGUGUGAAGAAGGCCUUCGGGUUGUAAAGCCCUUUUGUUGGGAAAGAAAAGCAGCAGGUUAAUACCCCGCUGUUCUGACGGUACCCAAAGAAUAAGCACCGGCUAACUUCGUG
Molecule: ribosomal RNA, 492 nt
Filed under: uncultured bacterium
Lineage: Bacteria
Description: partial 16S ribosomal RNA
Rfam family: Bacterial small subunit ribosomal RNA
Source: RNAcentral